AUGUGACGGUUCCUGGUAGCAUAACCUUUCGAAAGGAAGGCUAAUACCGCAUAACACCAUGGUUACCACGGUAAUUAUGGUCAAAGCAGCAAUGCGUCUGUGGAGAAGCCUGCGUCCGAUUAGGUAUGGAACUGAGACACGGUCC
This 145-nucleotide ribosomal RNA is filed under the name Leptonema illini. RNAcentral describes it as "partial 16S ribosomal RNA". The record is from RNAcentral. Lineage: Bacteria; Pseudomonadati; Spirochaetota; Leptospiria; Leptospirales; Leptospiraceae.